This is a long non-coding RNA of Scatophagus argus, 588 nucleotides long. RefSeq lists it as uncharacterized. The transcript has 3 exons. The record is from RefSeq and is a predicted model, not a curated record. Lineage: Eukaryota; Metazoa; Chordata; Actinopteri; Scatophagidae.
CGCGCAGUCCUAACAGGUCUCCACCUCCAAAACGAACCAAAAUAAUCACAGCACAGAAAGAAAAAAGUUCUCCAAUCAAAUGUGCAUCCCAGCCCGACACACUGGUCUCAUGCCACCGGACGGAGGAGCGGAAGGAUAAAUUGGACCACAUGCUUGUUCCAAUUAAGACAGUCGCUGUGGGAAUUCAGGAGCUGCACCACAAGUCAUGGAAAAACCUAAACAGGAGCGGAAACUCUUGCCUAAAGGACCACUUUUAUAAAGUACUUGGCUGCUGUACAUGCAUAUUGAACAUCUCAAGUGUGUUCAAUUUUUUUGCGUUACAUGACUUUCCAACCUUUUUCAGUGGUUAAAAAGAGUGGUGCCUGCCAACAAAGUGGGUGGAGCGGCGCUGAUGGGAUUUGUUUCUGAAGCAAAAUGAAUACAUCUGCUGCUUUGUACCAGUCCCAGUGAAGUGUUGGUGAUGGCUCAAGAAGAUGAAUCUUACUCUGGACCUUGAGUUUUCUCUCUUUUUACUUGAAAACAUGUGCUUAAUUUCUUGGGAGAAAGACACAGGGUGAGGGCAAAUAAAAAUCUGAACAAUAAAAUAAG